This 253-nucleotide ribosomal RNA is filed under the name uncultured Gemmatimonas sp. Its description in RNAcentral is "partial 16S ribosomal RNA". It matches the Rfam family "Bacterial small subunit ribosomal RNA", at positions 524 to 776 of the family's 1533-position model. The record is from RNAcentral. Lineage: Bacteria; Pseudomonadati; Gemmatimonadota; Gemmatimonadia; Gemmatimonadales; Gemmatimonadaceae.
UACGGAGGGUGCGAGCGUUGUCCGGAAUCACUGGGCGUAAAGGGCGCGUAGGCGGCGCGAGCAGUCCAUGGUGAAAGCCCGAGGCUCAACUUCGGGUCGGCCAAGGAUACUCUCGUGCUCGAGCACUGUAGAGGCAGAUGGAAUUCCGGGUGUAGCGGUGGAAUGCGUAGAGAUCCGGAAGAACACCGGUGGCGAAGGCGGUCUGCUGGGCAGUGGCUGACGCUGAGGCGCGACAGCGUGGGGAGCAAACAGG